GCCUUUGUGGUGUAGUGGUCAGCGCGCUCGGUGCGUAUUCGAGAGGUCCGUGGUUCCAGUCCCGGCGACGGUG
Molecule: non-coding RNA, 73 nt
Organism: Stegodyphus mimosarum
Lineage: Eukaryota; Metazoa; Arthropoda; Arachnida; Araneae; Eresidae
Source: Rfam